AGAGUUUGAUCCUGGCUCAGAAUCAACGCUGGCGGCGUGCCUAACACAUGCAAGUCGAACGAGAAAGUGGAGCAAUCCAUGAGUAAAGUGGCGACCGGGUGAGUAACACGUGACCAACCUACCCUCGAGUGGGGAAUAACCCCGGGAAACCGGGGCUAAUACCGCAUAACAUCCUUGGGGCGCAGGCCCUGGGGAUCAAA
This 200-nucleotide ribosomal RNA is filed under the name uncultured bacterium. RNAcentral describes it as "partial 16S ribosomal RNA". It matches the Rfam family "Bacterial small subunit ribosomal RNA", at positions 8 to 205 of the family's 1533-position model. The record is from RNAcentral.